RNAcentral lists this long non-coding RNA (441 nucleotides) under Androctonus crassicauda. The record is from RNAcentral. Lineage: Eukaryota; Metazoa; Arthropoda; Arachnida; Scorpiones; Buthidae.
GAUGUGAAGGAUGGCUCUUCUAAAGUAAUAGCGGAGGGCGGAGAGUUUGUAUGUGAUCGGGUCUGGAGACCAUCUAGGAGUUGUCACGGGUUCAUGCAUUGGCUUUCUGUGUGCAGCGAUGGGGAGCUUUCUAUUUUCUAACUCUAAAGUUAGAAUUGGAAAAUAGAAGGCUCUUCACCGCUGUAUACAGAGGGCCAAUGUAUGAACCCGUGAUGGUUCCUGGAUGGUCUCCAGACCGGAUUGCAUACACACUCUCCGCUUUCUAUUGUUGUUUUGGAAGAGCCAUCCUUUGCAUUGAUGCACAGGAGGAGUUGGACAGGGAGAUUGACUGUAUCUUUGGAGCGGGCCGGGUCCACAGGUGUGCCAGGGGUCUUUCAAGAAACGUUUGUGGAGAAGUGCAGCGAUCGCUGGUGAGUGGGAGUACAGUAGAAAGAAAAAAUG